AACCCAAUGGCACUGACGGAUUUCAGAUCUAAUGCACGAUUUUUGAGAAAAAAGGAGUUUUAUCAAAAAGAAGGUUUUCGCUCUUUGCUAUCCUUGCAUUAUAAAGCUCCUCGUGCUUUGUGCCUGUGACUUGGGGUUGGGUGAGAGAUGUUUCUAGUAUCUACUGGAGGUAGGGAGUCCAUAUUCGGAUUUGAAUUUACGGUUUUUGGGUUUACGCAUAGGUUUAUGUGUGUAAUAUAUGGAAUAGUUGGAGAGGGGAUGGGUUUGUUGCAAAUCAGCGA
Molecule: long non-coding RNA, 281 nt
Filed under: Ananas comosus (pineapple)
Lineage: Eukaryota; Viridiplantae; Streptophyta; Magnoliopsida; Poales; Bromeliaceae
Description: long non-coding RNA (ACOM_LNC041157)
Source: RNAcentral